UUCACUACCUUCAGUUGUGAGUUUGCAAACAUAGCUAUGGAGUGGCACUUUUAUAUAGUGAUAUUUUGCGUGACAGCAGUUCUGGCUGACGAAGAAUGGCUGGAAGUGGCAACCGCGCAGGGUCCCGCAGGGUCAGAAGCACUCUAACGGAGAAUUGUACGCUUUCUACAAUAUACCCUACGCAACAGCUCCUAAGGGUGAAGACAAGUUCAAAGCACCUCUACCACCGCCAGUAUGGACCGAACCAUUUGAUGCUGUCAACGAAAAUAUAAUCUGUCCACAGAACGAAUGGGUACCUUCAUCAUUAGAACAAGGUCUAGUGAUGUCUGAAGAUUGUCUCAUAGCCAAUAUAUUUGUGCCUGAUACAAAUGAAACUAACCUGCCCGUAUUUGUUAAUGUGUAUGGCGGUGCUUUUAUUACUGGGUAUGGUGACGUAGUAAGAGGGACACAGCUGAUGAAGACAAAAGAUUUCAUCAUGGUGACGUUUAACUAUCGUCUCGGCAUUCACGGGUUCCUCUGUCUUGGCACUGAGGAUGUACCAGGCAAUGCGGGCUUGAAGGAUCAAGUGGCGCUGUUGCGCUGGGUUAAUGAAAACAUCGCUAACUUCGGCGGUAACCCUGAUGAUGUCACAAUUGCUGGUUUCAGUGCAGGUGGAGCAGCUGUCGACUUAAUAAUGCUGUCAAAGUCAGCAAAAGGAUUAUUUCACCGCGUCAUUCCUGAGAGUGGUGGAAACCUUUCUAUAUUUGCAAUCCAGAAAGACCCUAUCGAGAUUGCUAAGAUCCAUGCCAAAACCCUAAAUUUUACGAAUGUUGACGAUAUUUAUGCGUUAGAACAGUUUUACAAGACCACUUCAAUGGAACUUCUAACUUCACAUUCGUUUGCCAAUAGAACUGAUUCCACUCAUAUGUUUUCACCGUGUGUGGAACGUGAUAUAGACGGAGCAUUCCUAACAGAACCUCCACUGACUAUACUAAAGAAUGGUGACUAUGAUAAGCUACCUAUGCUGUAUGGUUUCGCUAACAUGGAAGGUCUUUUCCGCAUAGACAUGUUUGACAUUUGGAAAGAUAUGAUGAACACUAACUUUUCUGAGUUCUUAUCAGCGGACUUGACGUUUAAAACUGAUGAAGAAAGGGAAGAGGUGGCCAGUAAGGUUAAGAAGUUUUAUUUUGGCGAUGAGCCUGUCAAUAACGAUAAUAUUUUGUCAUAUGUAGACUAUUUUUCGGAUGUCCUCUUUACUCAUCCUAUACUAUGGUCGGCUAAAUUGCAAGUGGAGGCUGGCAAUGAUCAAGUUUACCUGUAUGAAUAUUCGUUUGUAGAUGAUAAUGUUUCUGUAGUGCCAUACACUGACGUGCGAGGUGCUAACCACUGUGCUCAGACAGCGGCUAUAAUGGAUGGUGAAGAUGAAAGUCUGGAAUCGCUGGAAUAUCAGAAUAUGAGGAAAAUAAUCCGUGAAAUGUGGCACAACUUUAUAACUACUGGAGCCCCUGUGCCCGCUGGGUCAUCGCUGCCUGCAUGGCCAGCCUUAGGCGAGAACAUGUUACCACACAUGCAGCUGAUUGAGAAGCCGGUACUGCGCGGAGUACUCCUGGAAGAACGCUCUCGCUUCUGGGACGAGAUCUUCGAGAAAUACUACCGAGAUCCAGUUCCACCAACCGACCCCAACUCUUCAGAACGCCGAUACCAAUAUUGAUACGCCACUGCCAUCAUUGAUACCGAUAGUGAACCAUACAAACUUAUAUUUGGACCCUCAAGACACAGGCUGUAGCUUAGUUUGAGGGUCAUUGCCAAACUUUGUUGUAAUUCUUUUUUGAUGAAUAAAUAAUUUUGAAUUUAA
Molecule: RNA transcript, 1834 nt
Organism: Helicoverpa armigera (cotton bollworm)
Lineage: Eukaryota; Metazoa; Arthropoda; Insecta; Lepidoptera; Noctuidae
Gene name: cholinesterase 1-like
Exons: 3
Source: RefSeq, a predicted model, not a curated record